Sander lucioperca (pikeperch) is the source of this 298-nucleotide long non-coding RNA. RefSeq lists it as uncharacterized. The transcript has 3 exons. The record is from RefSeq and is a predicted model, not a curated record. NCBI's taxonomy places the organism in Eukaryota, Metazoa, Chordata, Actinopteri, Perciformes, Percidae.
UCUGUUUUAGUCUCAACCACCUCCUGAGGGAAAUACCUGGCUCUUAAUUUGCUAAAUGCUCCACUGUGUUUACCAGUUAGUUGCAAACUUUGUCUGUCUGCUCGGCUGGAUAGAUUGUGUACGGUGGGUUUAUCACACAGACUGUAUAAAAGAAAUGGACGUAGCCACUGUGACGUCCCCCCAUCAUUGGUUUGUGGACUACAGUUUUGAAGCCUCGAGCUUGGCAUUUUGGCCAUCGCCAUCUUGGUUUUUUGGAGCCAGAAUUAACCAUAUUUAAGGAGAAGGUGUUGGUGGUGAG